Molecule: small nucleolar RNA, 120 nt
Organism: Ziziphus jujuba (common jujube)
Lineage: Eukaryota; Viridiplantae; Streptophyta; Magnoliopsida; Rosales; Rhamnaceae
Product: small nucleolar RNA Z103
Exons: 1
Source: RefSeq, a predicted model, not a curated record
AUAGAAAUGAGGAUCCUUUCCCCAUAUGAUCGAAGCUGAUUCAAACUGUGCUUUUUUUGAAAGUAAAUGUCGGCCUCUGUUUCAUGGGGGUUGAUUUUUCAAGCCAGAACUCUGAUCUUU